This 107-nucleotide ribosomal RNA is filed under the name Klebsiella pneumoniae. RNAcentral's name for it is "partial 23S ribosomal RNA". The stretch from base 1 to 95 matches the Rfam family "Bacterial large subunit ribosomal RNA", at positions 2831 to 2925 of the family's 2925-position model. The record is from RNAcentral. Lineage: Bacteria; Pseudomonadati; Pseudomonadota; Gammaproteobacteria; Enterobacterales; Enterobacteriaceae.
AGGAACGUUAAAGACGAUGACGUUGAUAGGCCGGGUGUGUAAGCGCAGCGAUGCGUUGAGCUAACCGGCACUAAUGAACCGUGAGGCUUAACCUUACAACGCCGAAG